Melanotaenia boesemani (Boeseman's rainbowfish) is the source of this 861-nucleotide RNA transcript. It is a transcript of the gene named PARK2 co-regulated, with no coding region annotated. The transcript has 6 exons. NCBI's taxonomy places the organism in Eukaryota, Metazoa, Chordata, Actinopteri, Atheriniformes, Melanotaeniidae. The record is from RefSeq and is a predicted model, not a curated record.
GCAUAGCAGCCACCACUGAAAACAACAAACGUUAAGUUUUAGAAAUCCAAAAUUCGAUUGUUAGCCGAGCAAUAUUGCUCUUGUUUUGUCAGCAUUUGUAUAAACGAUAAAAGCUGCUGAAAUGUCGAAGAAGACAACUGAACUAAAAGCUGAAGGCUUUACCGUUAAGUCCUGUAUGAGGAACGCAGUGGUGGCCGGCCCCCCAACUACAGGUGUUUUUCAGGAGCGGCCAGCCAAAUCAAGCUUCUUUCGCAAGUGCUACAACAGAGGCGACCUCCCAGUUAAGGUGGACUUCAACAAAAGAGGCACAGGCAUCGCAUGGAAGGUGGAUAUUGAGCAACUGGACUACAACCACUACCUGCCACUGUUCUUUGAGGGAUUAUGUGAAACUGAUCAUCCGUUGGAGCUCUUGGCCUUACAGGGAAUCCAUGACAUGUUGGAAUGUGGAGGCUUCAAGAUCCUACCAGUCAUUCCCCAUCUUAUCCAGCACAUCUGCAAUGCCCUGAACACAAAGAAGGAAAAGGUGAUGUGCAACACCAUGAAAGUCCUGCAGCAUUUGGUGCAGUCUGCAGACAAUGUGGGGGAGGCCCUUGUCCCGUACUUCAGACGGAUCCUUCCCGUUUUUAACCUCUUCAAGAACAAGAGGAGAGAUAUCUAUCUAUCAAACAAUCACAGCUUGCCAAGACCCCUCCUCCAUUAAAAUACGAGCAGAAUGUGGGGAAACAGAGAGACAAAGGCAAGAUGGAAGGAGAGAUAGCGCGAGUGAGCAUGAGAUGAAAUCCAGACAAACUUGGAGAUAAUACCGACUACAGCCAGCAGAACAUUGCUGACCUGAUCGAAGAGACUCUGAUGAUGUUGGAG